This 497-nucleotide ribosomal RNA is filed under the name uncultured bacterium. Its description in RNAcentral is "partial 16S ribosomal RNA". It matches the Rfam family "Bacterial small subunit ribosomal RNA", at positions 28 to 507 of the family's 1533-position model. The record is from RNAcentral.
GACGAACGCUGGCGGCGUGCCUAAUACAUGCAAGUUGAGCGAUGAGGCUUGGUGCUUGCACCAAUUUGAAGAGCAGCGAACGGGUGAGUAACGCGUGGGGAAUCUGCCUUUGAGCGGGGGACAACAUUUGGAAACGAAUGCUAAUACCGCAUAACAACUUUAAACAUAAGUUUUAAGUUUGAAAGAUGCAAUUGCAUCACUCAAAGAUGAUCCCGCGUUGUAUUAGCUAGUUGGUGAGGUAAAGGCUCACCAAGGCGAUGAUACAUAGCCGACCUGAGAGGGUGAUCGGCCACAUUGGGACUGAGACACGGCCCAAACUCCUACGGGAGGCAGCAGUAGGGAAUCUUCGGCAAUGGACGAAAGUCUGACCGAGCAACGCCGAGUGAGUGAAGAAGGUUUUCGGAUCGUAAAACUCUGUUGGUAGAGAAGAACGUUGGUGAGAGUGGAAAGCUCAUCAAGUGACGGUAACUACCCAGAAAGGGACGGCUAACUACGUG